This 762-nucleotide ribosomal RNA is filed under the name Triticum aestivum (bread wheat). RNAcentral's name for it is "partial small subunit ribosomal RNA". The record is from RNAcentral. Lineage: Eukaryota; Viridiplantae; Streptophyta; Magnoliopsida; Poales; Poaceae.
AUGAGGAUCAGGAGGAGGCCGCAGCAGCCCUCCCCCUACACCGCCGCCCUGCUGCACCACCAGCAGCAGUACCGCUCAGAUCCGUCCACAUCCACGCACCAGACCCCGCGGAAUGCGGAGGAGCGCGGCCAGGGACGCGGGGGCGACGAGGAGGAGGAGGGGCGGGCCAGGCCGCCGCAUCCGCAUGCCAAUGCGGAUCUCGGCCGCAAGCCCGCCGCCGCCAGGCGCCUGGCAUUGCCGCAGGACAAUGCAGUCGAGGGCCAGGGCGCGGCGGCGGAGCAUGGAGCUGACGGCGCUCACAGCAGCAGCAAUGGCCAUGGCGGCGUCGCCGGCUGGAAGCCGGACGUGGCAUGCACGGGCGCCGGCGAGCGGGCGGUGAAGGUGGAAGAUCCGGUCGCGAAUGGCGUGGCGGCGUUGUCGGACGUCAAGGAGGAGAAGAAUGGCAGCGGCGGCGCGGCUGGCGGGGCCAAGAAGCGGCGCGGCCCGGCGGUGCUGAUGGAGGGGUCACGGUGCAGCCGCGUGAACGGGCGCGGAUGGCGCUGCAGCCAGCCGACGCUGGUCGGCUACUCCCUCUGCGAGCACCACCUGGGCAAGGGCCGGAUGCGCAGUGCGGCGGCGGCCGCCGCAGCCGGCGUCGGUGGCGGCGGGCGCGGAGGCCCCGGCCAGCUCGGCCGCACCGAGCACCGGGCCAGGAUGCCCGUCGGUGUCGCGGUGACCACCGCGGCGGCCAAGGCGGAGGAGCCGGGCCUGCGGCCCUACUAG